This 313-nucleotide ribosomal RNA is filed under the name Staphylococcus pseudintermedius. RNAcentral's name for it is "partial 23S ribosomal RNA". It matches the Rfam family "Bacterial large subunit ribosomal RNA", at positions 51 to 357 of the family's 2925-position model. The record is from RNAcentral. Lineage: Bacteria; Bacillati; Bacillota; Bacilli; Caryophanales; Staphylococcaceae.
GAAGGACGUUACUAACGACGAUAUGCUUUGGGGAGCUGUAAGUAAGCUUUGAUCCAGAGAUUUCCGAAUGGGGAAACCCAGCACGAGUUAUGUCGUGUUAUCUGCAUGUGAAUACAUAGCAUGCAAGAAGGCAGACCCGGAGAACUGAAACAUCUUAGUACCCGGAGGAAGAGAAAGAAAAAUCGAUUCCCUGAGUAGCGGCGAGCGAAACGGGAAGAGCCCAAACCAAUAAGCUUGCUUAUUGGGGUUGUAGGACACUCUGUACGGAGUUACAAAAGAAUUUGUUAGACGAAUAACCUGGAAAGGUUAAUCA